RNAcentral lists this unclassified non-coding RNA (321 nucleotides) under Hevea brasiliensis (rubber tree). Lineage: Eukaryota; Viridiplantae; Streptophyta; Magnoliopsida; Malpighiales; Euphorbiaceae. The record is from RNAcentral.
CGGGUGCAUAAGGAAAAGAAACUAGUUCCAUGAAACACUAAUCUUGGGAUUCCAAAUUUGGCAGCUGCAUCAGUAGCCCACGGAAAGAACAUAUCAGCAACAAGGCAAUCGGGGUGGCAUUCUUGGAGGAGCUUUUCAAGAGGUUCUUGGAGCAUGGAUGUGGCCUGCAAAAAAUUUUUGAUCAAGUGAAUUCCACCAUUCUCAUGGGGAGUGAUGGAAUCCACGUUUUCACAUCCUUCUGGUAGUCCAGCCUCCACUGAAGGGAACUUCAGGAUACGAAGAUCAACAUUUAUACCGAAAUUUUUGUUUCUUUCGAUUGUU